AACGAACGCUGGCGGCAGGCUUAACACAUGCAAGUCGAACGCGUGUAGCAAUACACGAGUGGCGCACGGGUGAGUAACGCGUGGGAACAUCCCUUUCAGUUCGGAAUAACCUCGGGAAACUGUGGCUAAUACCGGAUAUUCUCUUCGGAGGAAAGAUUUAUCGCUGAAAGAUUGGCCCGCGUCAGAUUAGCUAGUUGGUGGGGUAAUGGCCUACCAAGGCUCCGAUCUGUAGCUGGUCUGAGAGGACGACCAGCCACACUGGAACUGAGA
RNAcentral lists this ribosomal RNA (270 nucleotides) under uncultured bacterium. Its description in RNAcentral is "partial 16S ribosomal RNA". It matches the Rfam family "Bacterial small subunit ribosomal RNA", at positions 29 to 324 of the family's 1533-position model. The record is from RNAcentral.